Molecule: unclassified non-coding RNA, 401 nt
Filed under: soil metagenome
Description: partial contains 5.8S ribosomal RNA, internal transcribed spacer 2, and large subunit ribosomal RNA
Rfam family: 5.8S ribosomal RNA (bases 1-122)
Source: RNAcentral
GAUGAAGAACGUAGCGAAAUGCGAUACUUGGUGUGAAUUGCAGAAUCCUGUGAACCAUCGAGUUUUUAAACGCAAGUUUCGCCCGAAGCCAUUAGGCCGAGGGCACGCCUGCCUGGGUGUCACACAUUGUUGCCCCAAUGCCAAUCGCCUCACUUUGUAAGUAUUUGCUUGGGGUGAAUGUUGGCCUCCCGGGAGCUCUGUCUCACGGUUGGUUGAAAAUCGAAUGCAUGGUGUCGGGUGUACCAUGAUGGAUGGUGGUUGAGUGAUGCUCGAGACCAAUCAUGGGUAACUCCACCAGAAUUGUGCUCGGUGACCCACAUGCGUCCCUUGGAUGCUCCCUAAGGAGACCUCAGGUCAGGCGGGGCUACCCGUUGAGUUUAAGCAUAUCAAUAAGCGGAGGA